GUGAGUGCAAAGAAAUUGAGCAGCCACACGAACCUUUUUACGCGAGAUGUAAUGACAACCCAAGCACCACGUUCCGGUUACUCAGCCCGAUGUACAACCCCAAUUUUUCACUCUUAACAUUCGUAUCAGAGGAGUUUUUUUUUUUUUGCAUUCAAAAAUUUGACAUAUGAUAAAAAGUAGACAGUCAAGCAAACUUAUAAUUCCCAAAAAUUUCUUACCCACUAAGUCUAGGUUAUUGAAAAGUUUCAUGUGUAAAGAAUUAAAUAGCUAAAUAAGUCAAACCAUAAGUGUACCAUCCCAAUUUAAAAGAAUAAUUUUACCUUUUACCAAAAACAUGCAAAAAUAGCGAUGACAGAUAAGCAAAUUAGAACCAAUUU
RNAcentral lists this long non-coding RNA (377 nucleotides) under Gossypium raimondii (Peruvian cotton). RNAcentral's name for it is "long non-coding RNA (GRAI_LNC002985)". Lineage: Eukaryota; Viridiplantae; Streptophyta; Magnoliopsida; Malvales; Malvaceae. The record is from RNAcentral.